GACGAACGCUGGCGGCAUGCCUAACACAUGCAAGUCGAACGGAACCUUCGGGUCUUUUGGCGCAGGUCGACUUGCCACCUGGUAACCUGCCCGUAGGUUAGGUAUACCUCCCCUAAAGGUGUGCUAAUGACGCUUAAGCUAAUCGGACCAAAGAUUUAUCGCCUUUGGAUGGGGGCGGGUUAGUUUAGGCGGUUGGUAGUGGACAAGCGUACCAAGGGGACGAUGCAUAGCUGGUCGGGGAGGAUGACCAGCUACACUAGGACUGAGACACGGCCCACCCUCCUACGGAAGGCAGCAGUGGGGAAUAUUGUACGAGGGGCGAAAGCCUGAUCCAGCAGUGCCGCGUGUGUGAUGAAGGCCGUAGGGUUGUAAAGCCCUUUUACACGGGAUGAGAAUGACAGUACCGGGAGAAGAAGCUCCGGCUAACUACGUG
RNAcentral lists this ribosomal RNA (433 nucleotides) under uncultured bacterium. RNAcentral describes it as "partial 16S ribosomal RNA". It matches the Rfam family "Bacterial small subunit ribosomal RNA", at positions 28 to 507 of the family's 1533-position model. The record is from RNAcentral.